Molecule: ribosomal RNA, 379 nt
Filed under: uncultured eukaryote
Lineage: Eukaryota
Description: partial 18S ribosomal RNA
Rfam family: Eukaryotic small subunit ribosomal RNA
Source: RNAcentral
CAAUAGCGUAUAUUGAAGUUGUUGCGGUUAAAAAGCUCGUCGUUGGAUUUCUGUUGAGGUCGAACAGUGCCGCCCUAUGGGUGCGCAACUGGCUCGGCUUCGGCAUCUUCUUGGAGAGCGCAUCUGCACUUAACUGUGUGGAUCGUACUUCAAGUCAGUUACUUUGAGGAAUUGUGAGUGUUUCAAGCAGGCUUACGCCGUUGAAUCCGUUAGCAUGGAAUAAUAGGAUAGGACCUCGGUUCUAUUUGUUGGUUCGGAAUUUGACGUAAUGAUUAAGAGGGACAGACGGGGGCAUUCGUAUUGCUACGUUAGAGGUGAAAUUCUUGGAUCGUAGCACGACGAACAACUGCGAAAGCAUUUGCCAAGAAUGUUUUCAUUA